GUGAGGAAUAUUGGGCAAUGGGCGAAAGCCUGACCCAGCCACGCCGCGUGAGUGAUGAAGGCCUUCGGGUUGUAAAGCUCUGUGGGGAGGGAAGAAAAAGCGGGAGAGUAACUGCUCUCGUGUUGACGGUACCUCCUUAGCAAGCACCGGCUAACUCUGUGCCAGCAGCCGCGGUAAUACAGAGGGUGCAAACGUUGCUCGGAAUUACUGGGCGUAAAGCGCGUGUAGGCUGACAUGCAAGUCGGGUGUGAAAUCCCAGGGCUCAACCUUGGAACUGCACUCGAAACUGCACGUCUUGAGUACUGGAGAGGGAAGCGGAAUUCCGGGUGUAGAGGUGAAAUUCGUAGAUAUCCGGAGGAACACCAGUGGCGAAGGCGGCUUCCUGGACAGUAACUGACGCUGAGACGCGAAAGCGUGGGGAGCAAACAGGCUUAGAAACCCGAGUAGUCC
This 450-nucleotide ribosomal RNA is filed under the name uncultured bacterium. RNAcentral's name for it is "partial 16S ribosomal RNA". It matches the Rfam family "Bacterial small subunit ribosomal RNA", at positions 354 to 796 of the family's 1533-position model. The record is from RNAcentral.